Molecule: ribosomal RNA, 324 nt
Filed under: uncultured eukaryote
Lineage: Eukaryota
Description: partial 18S ribosomal RNA
Rfam family: Eukaryotic small subunit ribosomal RNA
Source: RNAcentral
CCCUUAGAUGUUCUGGGCCGCACGCGCGCUACACUGAUGCAUUCAACGAGUUUCUUCCUGGUCCGAGAGGAGUGGGUAACCUUUUGAAAGUGCAUCGUGAUAGGGAUAGACUAUUGCAAUUAUUGGUCUUCAACGAGGAAUUCCUAGUAGACGUAGUUCAUCAGACUGCAUCGAUUACGUCCCUGCCCUUUGUACACACCGCCCGUCGCUCCUACCGAUCGAAGAGUUAGGUGAAUUGUUUUGAUCGAUAAGAUUUGACUAUGGUCAACUCUCGUUGUGAAAUUCUGUGAAUCUGACUGUUUAGAGGAAGGAAAAGUCGUAACA